UGGCUCAGAUUGAACGCUGGCGGCAGGCCUAACACAUGCAAGUCGAGCGGCAGCACGGGUACUUGUACCUGGUGGCGAGCGGCGGACGGGUGAGUAAUGCCUAGGAAUCUGCCUGGUAGUGGGGGAUAACGUUCGGAAACGAACGCUAAUACCGCAUACGUCCUACGGGAGAAAGCAGGGGACCUUCGGGCCUUGCGCUAUCAGAUGAGCCUAGGUCGGAUUAGCUAGUUGGUGAGGUAAUGGCUCACCAAGGCGACGAUCCGUAACUGGUCUGAGAGGAUGAUCAGUCACACUGGAACUGAGACACGGUCCAGACUCCUACGGGAGGCAGCAGUGGGGAAUAUUGGACAAUGGGCGAAAGCCUGAUCCAGCCAUGCCGCGUGUGUGAAGAAGGUCUUCGGAUUGUAAAGCACUUUAAGUUGGGAGGAAGGGCAGUUACCUAAUACGUAAUUGUUUUGACGUUACCGACAGAAUAAGCACCGGCUAACUCUGUGCCAGCAGCCGCGGUAAUACAGAGGGUGCAAGCGUUAAUCGGAAUUACUGGGCGUAAAGCGCGCGUAGGUGGUUCGUUAAGUUGGAUGUGAAAUCCCCGGGCUCAACCUGGGAACUGCAUUCAAAACUGUCGAGCUAGAGUAUGGUAGAGGGUGGUGGAAUUUCCUGUGUAGCGGUGAAAUGCGUAGAUAUAGGAAGGAACACCAGUGGCGAAGGCGACCACCUGGACUGAUACUGACACUGAGU
RNAcentral lists this ribosomal RNA (738 nucleotides) under uncultured Pseudomonas sp. Its description in RNAcentral is "bacterial SSU rRNA". It matches the Rfam family "Bacterial small subunit ribosomal RNA", at positions 20 to 751 of the family's 1533-position model. Lineage: Bacteria; Pseudomonadati; Pseudomonadota; Gammaproteobacteria; Pseudomonadales; Pseudomonadaceae. The record is from RNAcentral.